CCUACGGGAGGCAGCAGUGGGGAAUAUUGCGCAAUGGGCGAAAGCCUGACGCAGCGACGCCGCGUGAGGGAUGAAGGUCUUCGGAUCGUAAACCUCUGUCAGCAGGGAAGAACGGUCACUGUGCUAAUCAGCCGUGAAUUGACGGUACCUGCACAGGAAGCACGGGCUAACUCCGUGCCAGCAGCCGCGGUAAUACGGAGGGUGCGAGCGUUAAACGGAAUUACUGGGCGUAAGGCGCUCGUAGGCGGUAUGUCAAGUCAAGGGUGAAAUUCCCGGGCUCAACGUGGAAACUGCCUUUGAAACGGGCAAACGGGAGGGUGUGAGAGGAUAGGGGAA
Molecule: ribosomal RNA, 336 nt
Filed under: uncultured bacterium
Lineage: Bacteria
Description: partial 16S ribosomal RNA
Rfam family: Bacterial small subunit ribosomal RNA
Source: RNAcentral